Molecule: unclassified non-coding RNA, 433 nt
Filed under: soil metagenome
Description: partial contains 5.8S ribosomal RNA, internal transcribed spacer 2, and large subunit ribosomal RNA
Rfam family: 5.8S ribosomal RNA (bases 1-120)
Source: RNAcentral
GAUGAAGAACGUAGCGAAAUGCGAUACGUAAUGUGAAUUGCAGAAUUCAGUGAAUCAUCGAAUCUUUGAACGCAUAUUGCGCUCUCUGGUAUUCCGGAGAGCAUGCUUGUUUGAGUAUCAGUAAACACCUCAACUUCCAUAUCUUUUUUGAAAUGGGAGUUGGACUUGAGUGAUCCCAACGCUUUUCCUCACCGAAAAGUGGCGGGUUACUUGAAAUGCAGGUGCAGCUGGACUUUUCUCUGAGCUAUAAGCAUAUCUAUUUAGUCUGCCUAAAAAACAGAUUAUUACCUUUGCUGCAGCUAACAUAAAGGAGAUUAGUUCUUGUGCUGACUGAUGCAGGAUUCACAAAGACGGCUUCGGCCGACUUUGUAAACUCGAUCUCAAAUCAAGUAAGACUACCCGCUGAACUUAAGCAUAUCAAUAAGCGGGAGGA